GACAUCCCGAUGCUAUUUCUAGAGAUAGAAAGUUACUUCGGUACAUUGGUGACAGGUGGUGCAUGGUUGUCGUCAGCUCGUGUCGUGAGAUGUUGGGUUAAGUCCCGCAACGAGCGCAACCCCUAUUGUUAGUUGCCAUCAUUCAGUUGGGCACUCUAGCGAGACUGCCGGUAAUAAACCGGAGGAAGUGGGGAUGACGUCAAAUCAUCAUGCCCCUUAUGACCUGGGCUACACACGUGCUACAAUGGUUGGUACAACGAGUUGCGAGUCGGUGACGGCGAGCUAAUCUCUUAAAGCCAAUCUCAGUUCGGAUUGUAGGCUGCAACUCGCCUACAUGAAGUCGGAAUCGCUAGUAAUCGCGGAUCAGCACGCCGCGGUGAAUACGUUCCCGGGCCUU
RNAcentral lists this ribosomal RNA (397 nucleotides) under uncultured Streptococcus sp. RNAcentral's name for it is "bacterial SSU rRNA". It matches the Rfam family "Bacterial small subunit ribosomal RNA", at positions 983 to 1382 of the family's 1533-position model. The record is from RNAcentral. Lineage: Bacteria; Bacillati; Bacillota; Bacilli; Lactobacillales; Streptococcaceae.